CUCUCAAAACAAGUAGCCUUGACAUUGCACAUAAUAUAUCUAAGAAAGAGAUUAACUCAUGCAUACAAUGCUCAAUCUCCAUUGUUCUACCCUUUUCCCAAUCAUACAAUUACACAAUCUUUCCCAAAUGUCAAACCCAACUCACAUCUCUCACCAAAAGAUCCUAAGAACUUUAACUCCUUCUCUUUGAAAUCUACAAGGGAUUUUCCACAACCUCAAAACAUUACUUAGCUCCUAACAACUUUGCUAGCUCCCUUUUUUUUUUUUUUUUUUUUAGAUGGGGGCCAAGACUUUUCAUAACUUGAGCUAGAGGUUUUUCUUCUUAUCCCAAUAAGACAAUUCACUUAAACACAAAGAGUCAUUUCUUUUCCUUUUUCAUUGCUCCCAAAUCAUAAUCAAAACUCUCACCCCCCCCACCUAUAGCUAGACAAUAGAGUGUCCAAUCUAGCAAGAAUGAAGAUCAAGCAUUGUCGUUCCCGAUACUCUCAACAUUAUGCACAUGUAAGACUUUCCGAAGAAGACCUCA
This 526-nucleotide long non-coding RNA is filed under the name Brassica napus (rape). RNAcentral describes it as "long non-coding RNA (BNAP_LNC026267)". Lineage: Eukaryota; Viridiplantae; Streptophyta; Magnoliopsida; Brassicales; Brassicaceae. The record is from RNAcentral.